Molecule: ribosomal RNA, 449 nt
Filed under: uncultured bacterium
Lineage: Bacteria
Description: partial 16S ribosomal RNA
Rfam family: Bacterial small subunit ribosomal RNA
Source: RNAcentral
AGCGAACGCUGGCGGCAGGCCUAACACAUGCAAGUCGAGCGCCGUAGCAAUACGGAGCGGCAGACGGGAUAGUAACACGUGGGAACGUGCCCUCUGGUUCGGAAUAACUCAGGGAAACUUGAGCUAAUACCGGAUAAGCCCUUACGGGGAAAGAUUUAUUGCCAUAGGAGCGGCCCGCGUCGGAUUAGCUAGUUGGUGAGGUAAUGGCUCACCAAGGCGACGAUCCGUAGCUGGUCUGAGAGGAUGACCAGCAUCACUGGGACUGAGACACGGCCCAGACUCCUACGGGAGGCAGCAGUGGGGAAUAUUGGACAAUGGGCGCAAGCCUGAUCCAGCCAUGCCGCGUGGAUGAUGAAGGCCCUAGGGUUGUAAAGUCCUUUUAACGGGGAGGAUAAUGACGGUACCCGUAGAAUAAGCCCCGGCUAACUUCGUGCCAGCAGCCGCCGUAA